CUUGCUCGAAUCUCUUACUGACCUGCAACCCCUGCAAUGAAUUGCAAAUAUGGUAAGGGCUACCGGUAUCCAAUACCCAGUCAGUUAUAUCACAAAUAGAGAAAUUGAAAGGAGUUAUCAUAUAAAUACCUUGCUCAGCAACAACUUGCUGCUUUCUUUGCCUGUUUGGGUCCAGAGAGGUAAUGUACUGGGGAUAGUUCCUCUUCCAGUGCCCCCGCUUCUUACAAAAGAAGCAUUCAGCUUGAUCUUUAUCGAGCUUGAUCUUUUUGGUCUGGUCCUACACUGAUGUCCCAGCCUGAAUUUGCACCUUUUUCACUUUCUUCUUCUUGUUCUUCUUCCCCUUUUUAGAGGGUCGAGAACCAGAAGAUGAACAUCCCACUAAGUUCACCGACUCCUUGUGGAGUUGAUGAUCCUUCUCAAAGUUCUGAAGCAACCCCAGUAACCCAUGGUAGUUCACUUCAGUCUUUGUCAUUCUAUAAUGAGUGAGGAAUGGGAGAUAAGACUUGGGCAGCGAGUUUAGUAUUGCAUCUUUCCUAAGCUGCUCAUGCAAGGGAAAGCCGAGCUUGCUCAAUCAUUCCAUCAGCUCAAUCAUGUACAAUACAUGAUCAGUGACAGAGGCACCAUCCCGCAUUUUGGCAUUGAAGAUGGCACAACUAGUCUUGUGCCUCUCCACAUCAUCGGGUGUGCCAAAGGCAUCCUCCAACACUUGAAGCAUGUCCUUUGGCUGAGCCGUCUUGAAUCUGUGAUUGAACUCGUCACUCAUGGUAGCC
RNAcentral lists this long non-coding RNA (770 nucleotides) under Elaeis guineensis (African oil palm). RNAcentral's name for it is "long non-coding RNA (EGUI_LNC057271)". Lineage: Eukaryota; Viridiplantae; Streptophyta; Magnoliopsida; Arecales; Arecaceae. The record is from RNAcentral.